This 373-nucleotide ribosomal RNA is filed under the name uncultured organism. RNAcentral's name for it is "partial 16S ribosomal RNA". It matches the Rfam family "Bacterial small subunit ribosomal RNA", at positions 527 to 896 of the family's 1533-position model. The record is from RNAcentral.
GUAGGUGGCAAGCGUUGUCCGGAAUUAUUGGGCGUAAAGCGCGCGCAGGUGGUUCUUUAAGUCUGAUGUGAAAGCCCCCGGGCUCAACCGGGGAGGGUCAUUGGAAACUGGGGAACUUGAGUGCAGGAGAGGAAAGUGGAAUUCCACGUGUAGCGGUGAAAUGCGUAGAUAUGUGGAGGAACACCAGUGGCGAAGGCGACUUUCUGGCCUGUAACUGACACUGAGGCGCGAAAGCGUGGGGAGCAAACAGGAUUAGAUACCCUGGUAGUCCACGCCGUAAACGAUGAGUGCUAAGUGUUGGGGGGUUUCCGCCCCUCAGUGCUGCAGCUAACGCAUUAAGCACUCCACCUGGGGAGUACGGUCGCAAAGACUG